RNAcentral lists this ribosomal RNA (464 nucleotides) under uncultured bacterium. Its description in RNAcentral is "partial 16S ribosomal RNA". It matches the Rfam family "Bacterial small subunit ribosomal RNA", at positions 339 to 795 of the family's 1533-position model. The record is from RNAcentral.
CUACGGGACGCAGCAGUGGGGAAUUUUGGACAAUGGGGGCAACCCUGAUCCAGCCAUGCCGCGUGAGUGAAGAAGGCCUUCGGGUUGUAAAGCUCUUUCGGCCGGAACGAAAUCGCAUGGGCCAAUACCCUGUGUGGAUGACGGUACCGGAAGAAGAAGCACCGGCUAACUACGUGCCAGCAGCCGCGGUAAUACGUAGGGUGCGAGCGUUAAUCGGAAUUACUGGGCGUAAAGCGUGCGCAGGCGGCUCUUUAAGUCAGAUGUGAAAGCCCCGGGCUUAACCUGGGAACUGCGUUUGAAACUGGAGAGCUGGAGUGUGGCAGAGGGAGGUGGAAUUCCACGUGUAGCAGUGAAAUGCGUAGAGAUGUGGAGGAACACCGAUGGCGAAGGCAGCCUCCUGGGCCAACACUGACGCUCAUGCACGAAAGCGUGGGGAGCAAACAGGAUUAGAUACCCCGGUAGUC